UACAGCGAAACUGCGAAUGGCUCAUUAUAUAAGUUCAUCUUUUUAUUUGAUAGUGCCUUACUACUUGGAUAACCGUGGUAAUUCUAGAGCUAAUACAUGCUAAAAACCCCGACUUCGGAAGGGGUGUAUUUAUUAGAUACAAAACCAAUGCCCUUCGGGGCUCUUUGGUGAUUCAUGAUAACUAUACGAAUCGCACGGCCUUGCGCCGGCGAUGGUUCAUUCAAAUUUCUUCCCUAUCAACUUUCGAUGUUUGGGUAUUGGCCAAACAUGGUUGCAACGGGUAACGGAGGGUUAGGGCUCGACCCCGGAGAAGGAGCCUGAGAAACGGCUACUACAUCCAAGGAAGGCAGCAGGCGCGCAAAUUACCCAAUCCCGACUCGGGGAGGUAGUGACAAUAAAUACUGAUACAGGGCCCUUUCGGGCCUUGUAAUUGGAAUGAGUACAAUUUAAAUCCCUUAACGAGGAACAAUUGGAGGGCAAGUCUGGUGCCAGCAGCCGCGGUAAUUCCAGCUCCAAUAGCGUAUAU
This 526-nucleotide ribosomal RNA is filed under the name uncultured eukaryote. RNAcentral's name for it is "SSU rRNA". It matches the Rfam family "Eukaryotic small subunit ribosomal RNA", at positions 77 to 604 of the family's 1831-position model. The record is from RNAcentral.